RNAcentral lists this long non-coding RNA (287 nucleotides) under Ananas comosus (pineapple). RNAcentral's name for it is "long non-coding RNA (ACOM_LNC012024)". The record is from RNAcentral. Lineage: Eukaryota; Viridiplantae; Streptophyta; Magnoliopsida; Poales; Bromeliaceae.
UGAAGCCGCUUUGGAGUGGGAGAAUGGGUUGGUACCCUCAAUUGCUCGCGGAGCUGAAUUUAGGCGUGGUUUGAAUUUCGCGGACGAAAUUUUUUUAAGGAGUGGGGAAUGUAAUAUACCAGAUUUGGCAUAAAAAUAAAAAUUAAAAAAAAUAGUAUGAGAUACUGUUUUUAUUGGAUUUAGAAAAGUAAAACAUAAGUCAGAAGUGACUUGUGCUGAAAUCGUAAUGAAAACAGAAGAUUUAGAAUUUUCUGCUAGAAACGGGACAGAUAAAUUAGCAGAAAAUG